GACGAACGCUGGCGGCGUGCUUAACACAUGCCAGUCGAACGGAAAGGCCCUGCUUUUGUGGGGUGCUCGAGUGGCGAACGGGUGAGUAACACGUGAGUAACCUGCCCUUGACUUUGGGAUAACUUCAGGAAGCUGGGGCUAAUACCGGAUAGGAGCUCCUGCUGCAUGGUGGGGGUUGGAAAGUUUCGGCGGUUGGGGAUGGACUCGCGGCUUAUCAGCUUGUUGGUGGGGUAGUGGCUUACCAAGGCUUUGACGGGUAGCCGGCCUGAGAGGGUGACCGGCCACAUUGGGACUGAGAUACGGCCCAAACUCCUACGGGAGGCAGCAGUGGGGAAUAUUGCAAAAUGGGCGGAAGCCUGAUGCAGCAACGCCGCGUGCGGGAUGACGGCCUUCGGGUUGUAAACCGCUUUCGCCUGUGACGAAGCGUGAGUGACGGUAAUGGGUAAAGAAGCACCGGCUAACUACGUG
Molecule: ribosomal RNA, 468 nt
Filed under: uncultured bacterium
Lineage: Bacteria
Description: partial 16S ribosomal RNA
Rfam family: Bacterial small subunit ribosomal RNA
Source: RNAcentral